This 646-nucleotide long non-coding RNA is filed under the name Marmota monax (woodchuck). Lineage: Eukaryota; Metazoa; Chordata; Mammalia; Rodentia; Sciuridae. The record is from RNAcentral.
GUUGAUGAAUAUGAUUUAAAAAUUGAUGAAUAUGAUUUAAAAACAUGAUAUCAGUCCUCAAAUUGUAGAAUAUCCCACAGUCACCUAGAGUACUUCUUAAAACACUAACUUUUAUGCCCUAUCUAGAGAGGGUGUGAUUGAGUACCACUGGGUCAGAUCUGUAAAUUUACAUCACUGACAAUUUUCAUAGUAAUAUUGAUGCUGCUAGUCCAGGGACCACACUUUGAGAAUCUGCCUUAGCAUAUUAGAACAAGAAAUAUCAGCCAAUUCCUUUUUCGUGUAAUCAUAUCCAGUGGACCUGUUUUUGCACAGUUCAAAUCUCAGCCCAUUAUUGACAGCCGUUUUAUUGUAGCUGGAGGCCUUACAGUAAGCUGUUUAUAUUGCUGUUUCCCAAACCGUUGACAGCAUUUGGGGAAUUAAUUUUCUUGGCCCCAGUGUGCUUUUUUUUCCAAGGGGUAGGGCUGGAAAUAAAUGAAAAUGUUAGCAUAAAAAAAAGUGAUCUAUUUACAUUUGACAAGUUUUUCAAAUAAUAAUCUGUGAGAGUUUCACUAGAGUUUGGUUCUGGAUAAACAGUCAUAUUUAAUUUUCUAAAUGAAAUGCUCAUUUUAGAGCUCAAGCAUCCUGACUUUAACUUUAUGUAAUGUAG